GCAGCGACGCCGCGUGAGGGAUGACGGCCUUCGGGUUGUAAACCUCUUUCACCAGGGACGAAGCGUGAGUGACGGUACCUGGAGAAGAAGCACCGGCCAACUACGUGCCAGCAGCCGCGGUAAUACGUAGGGUGCGAGCGUUGUCCGGAAUUACUGGGCGUAAAGAGCUCGUAGGCGGUUUGUCGCGUCGUCUGUGAAAUUCUGCAACUCAAUUGCAGGCGUGCAGGCGAUACGGGCAGACUUGAGUACUACAGGGGAGACUGGAAUUCCUGGUGUAGCGGUGAAAUGCGCAGAUAUCAGGAGGAACACCGGUGGCGAAGGCGGGUCUCUGGGUAGUAACUGACGCUGAGGAGCGAAAGCGUGGGUAGCGAACAGGAUUAGAUACCCUGGUAGUCCACGCCGUAAACGGUGGGUACUAGGUGUGGGUUCCUUUUCACGGGAUCCGUGCCGUAGCUAACGCAUUAAGUAC
RNAcentral lists this ribosomal RNA (469 nucleotides) under Gordonia sp. (in: high G+C Gram-positive bacteria). RNAcentral describes it as "bacterial SSU rRNA". It matches the Rfam family "Bacterial small subunit ribosomal RNA", at positions 388 to 867 of the family's 1533-position model. Lineage: Bacteria; Bacillati; Actinomycetota; Actinomycetes; Mycobacteriales; Gordoniaceae. The record is from RNAcentral.